Molecule: long non-coding RNA, 411 nt
Organism: Oncorhynchus keta (chum salmon)
Lineage: Eukaryota; Metazoa; Chordata; Actinopteri; Salmoniformes; Salmonidae
Exons: 3
Source: RefSeq, a predicted model, not a curated record
CAGGGGUGCGUAAUGAUGGUGGCAGGUGUGCGUAAUGAUGGUGGCAGGUGUGCGUAAUGAUGGUGGCAGGUGUGCGUAAUGAUGGUGGCAGGUGUGCGUAAUGAUGGUGGCAGGUGUGCGUAAUGAUGGUGGCAGGUGUGCGUAAUGAUGGUGGCAGGUGUGCGUAAUGAUGGUGGCAGGUGUGCGUAAUGAUGGUGGCAGGUGUGCGUAAUGAUGGUGGCAGGUGUGCGUAAUGAUGGUGGCAGGUGUGCGUAAUGAUGGUGGCAGGUGUGCGUAAUGAUGGUGGCAGGUGUGCGUAAUGAUGGUGGCAGGUGUGCGUAAUGAUGGUGGCAGGUGUGCGUAAUGAUGGUGGCAGGUGUGCGUAAUGAUGGUGGCAGGUGUGCGUAAUGAUGGUGGCAGGGGUGUGUAAUG